Molecule: unclassified non-coding RNA, 498 nt
Filed under: Hevea brasiliensis (rubber tree)
Lineage: Eukaryota; Viridiplantae; Streptophyta; Magnoliopsida; Malpighiales; Euphorbiaceae
Source: RNAcentral
GUUUGGAAGUACCACAAAUGUUAAUGACAUUCCUUAUGCCUACAUUGCGAAACUGAAAUACUCAGAAUUAAUUUUACUAAUAAUACACCUCUUCAGAUUGGAUAACGAGCAAACCACCUAUCAACCAUGGCUUGACAUUCUUUGGGUUUGUACUCUGGAGCUGUGUGACCACCUCCCUUUACAGUCACAUAUGUCAAUCGGAAGUGCUCAUUCAUGAACUUGGUUUGGUAUCCUGCAACUUGACCAUCAACAUACCAAGGCCGCCACUCAUCAAAAACAGCAAUUUCAAGGGAUCUGAUCCAUUCUAGUGUACCCACAUAAGGGACAGAAAUGUCAUGAUCUCCACUAUAUAUCAGAGCUCUGAGACCUGUUAGGGAUAGAUUUUUGUGAACAUAAACACUACUCUGAACAUUUUCUGUGUAGGUAGGAAAUGUUUUGACACACCUAUUCCAAGUUUUCACUGUACCCUCUUGAACGCCAAGAGCGCUUUGAACUGUU